Molecule: ribosomal RNA, 770 nt
Filed under: Acinetobacter sp. MaJR-2012-c8
Lineage: Bacteria; Pseudomonadati; Pseudomonadota; Gammaproteobacteria; Moraxellales; Moraxellaceae
Description: bacterial SSU rRNA
Rfam family: Bacterial small subunit ribosomal RNA
Source: RNAcentral
UUUASGGGGRGGGCAGCAGUGGGGAAUAUUGGACAAUGGGGGRAASCCUGAUCCAGCCAUGCCGCGUGUGUGAAGAAGGCCUUAUGGUUGUAAAGCACUUUAAGCGAGGAGGAGGCUUACCUAACUAAUACUUAGGAUAAGUGGACGUUACUCGCAGAAUAAGCACCGGCUAACUCUGUGCCAGCAGCCGCGGUAAUACAGAGGGUGCAAGCGUUAAUCGGAAUUACUGGGCGUAAAGCGCGCGUAGGUGGCCAAUUAAGUCAAAUGUGAAAUCCCCGAGCUUAACUUGGGAAUUGCAUUCGAUACUGGUUGGCUAGAGUAUAGGAGAGGAAGGUAGAAUUCCAGGUGUAGCGGUGAAAUGCGUAGAGAUCUGGAGGAAUACCGAUGGCGAAGGCAGCCUUCUGGCCUAAUACUGACACUGAGGUGCGAAAGCAUGGGGAGCAAACAGGAUUAGAUACCCUGGUAGUCCAUGCCGUAAACGAUGUCUACUAGCCGUUGGGUCCUUUGAGGACUUAGUGGCGCAGCUAACGCGAUAAGUAGACCGCCUGGGGAGUACGGUCGCAAGACUAAAACUCAAAUGAAUUGACGGGGGCCCGCACAAGCGGUGGAGCAUGUGGUUUAAUUCGAUGCAACGCGAAGAACCUUACCUGGCCUUGACAUAGUAGARACUUUCCAGAGAUGGAUUGGUGCCUUCGGGAAUCUACAUACAGGUGCUGCAUGGCUGUCGUCAGCUCGUGUCGUGAGAUGUUGGGUUAAGUCCCGCAACGAGC